Non-coding RNA from Populus trichocarpa (black cottonwood), 151 nucleotides. The record is from Rfam. NCBI's taxonomy places the organism in Eukaryota, Viridiplantae, Streptophyta, Magnoliopsida, Malpighiales, Salicaceae.
AUCUUUGCGCUUGGGGCAAUGACGCAGCUAGUGAGGUUAUAACCGAGGCGCGUCAAUUGCUGGUUGAAAACUAUUUCCAAACCCCCUCUUAGGCCUAGGUCUUGCCUAGGCCUUUGAGAAUUUCUGGAAGGGCUCCCUCCGGGGUAAGGCC